This 4108-nucleotide long non-coding RNA is filed under the name Homo sapiens (human). RNAcentral's name for it is "non-protein coding lnc-PPP2R2C-2:1". The record is from RNAcentral. Lineage: Eukaryota; Metazoa; Chordata; Mammalia; Primates; Hominidae.
CAGGGUGGACUCACUGCAGUCACCAGCCUGGGUGCACUGGCAGGGCCACCCCUGUGUCUACAGAGCUUUCCUCUGUCUCACACACAGCCCAGCCCUUUCUAAGGAAGGCUUGGACAGCGGGGAGAGGGAGAGCAGGUUUUACCGCUGGUCAGCAGCUGCCUUCCUCCCUUUACCCCCAACGGCCUGGGACACUGGCACAACCAAGCAGAGGGCAGGAGGACUGGCACGGGGGUCUGGAUGUUUUUCUCCUUUUGAACAUUUCCAAAAUUUUCCACAUGAGCAUGUAUUUCUUUUCAAAUCAGAAAGCACAACUGCACAUCAGAAGGUGUGUGCAGCUGGGGGAACACGGGGCCAACCGGCCUCCUCCCUUGCACGCUCUGCCCCAGCAGCCUCUGGGCUAUCCCUGGCACCCAACAAUGAGCCGUGUGGGCCGCCUGAGCCCCCUCCAGGUCAUUCCAACUGCUCUGGAAUCAGCAGGCUGGGUUGGUGAGAAAUUCUGGCUAACAAUGCCACUGUUAGUUUUUCAAAAUCAUCAGUUUAAUUUUCAAAGAGAAGACUCUGUAUAAUAAAUGUAACUCUUAAAAUAUGAUACAAGCUGGGCAUGGUGGCUCACGCCUGUACUCUCAUCACUUUGGGAGGCCAAGGAGGGUGGAUCCCCUGAGGUCAGGAGUUUGUGACCAGCCUGGCCAACCUGAUGAAACCCUGUCUCUGCUAAAAAUACAAAAAUUAGCUAGGUGUGGUAAUGCACGCCUGUAAUCUCAGCUACUCAAAAGGCUGAGGCAGGAGAAUUGCUUGAACCAGGGAGGUGGAGGUUACAGUGACUUGAGAUCGCACCCCUGCACUCUAGCCUGGGCGACAGAGUGAGACUCCAUCUCAAAACAACAACAACAAACACAGAAGGAAAUACACCAAAAUAUGGGGAGUUGCUUCUGGGCUUCAAGGUUAUGAGUAAUUUGUAUCUUUAUGUUUUCUACAUAGUCCAAGUUUUCUAUGAUAAGCAUAAAAUACUCUUACAAUCUGAAAAAAAAGGUAUCAUUAGAAAAAACACCUUUGUGACACCCACUUUCAUCUUUCCCUGAGGCGUGGAACCUUCAGGAAGCACACUGCCCCACGGCACCAGGGACAGCCACUUCCCUUGCGCAGGACAACGUCCUAACUCACCACCCCUGGCCUGAGCUGCGUCCCUUUCCUCCCCUGCCUCUCUGUUUGAAAGAGAUUAUCUAUGAAGGGUCAGCCUGCCUCCUCCCAAAGUGAACAUGCUUGUCCAGGUCUGUGUGGGCCCACAGCCCCUCAGCUGGUCUGCCCAGACUCGACGGACAUCAGCUCAGGGGCAUGGGCCACUCUGACUGCAGGCCACAUUACAGUCUCCAGCUUUGCCUCAGGGAAACUGCCUCUCAGCUGAACCCAGGAUCGAUGUCUCAGUUUGGAUCAGAACCCAGCAGGGAAGCAGGAUGUAUAGUUACCACUUGGAGAUACCAACACAAGCCAAAGAGAAUGAAAAUGGCUUGGUCUGUUAAAUAUCCCAUGUUAAGUCCAGAAACAGUGUCUAAAAUGAGAAGGCCACCAGCAAAACAGAAACUGAAAUUUCCCAACAGCAUCACCAGCGUUAGGUUUGGUAAGAUUUUAGUUGUUCAGUUAGCAAGCAGCAUUACAAGCUGCUCAACCCUCCAGAGGCUGUUCUAAGCCUCACACAGACCCACCUCUUCUGUCCGCCAAGCACCGGCGAAGCAGCUUCACAGCCUCGCGACGGCCCUGCUUCGCGGCGAGGACCAGCCAGUCCACAGCGGUGCAGCUGUUGAGUUCUUCAUCCGUGUCGCCGGCCAACUGCAGGUAGUGCUUCCCCACCUGCAAGCCAGACACCAGUCAGCCUCCAGAUUCUCCGACCCUCUCCCACCCCAUGCUCCCUGCCAGCCCACCUCCUUUCACCCACUUCCCUUUGUCACCCAGGCCAGGAAGGAAGGGGCAGAAAUGGGGUCACACCAGGCAUGUCCACUAGGCUAGGCCCUACUGAGCCUCCGGCCACUCGCUCCUCAAAACACGGUGAGGAAGGUGUGGCCACCCCAUCCACACGGCGAGGGAGACACGGGCUCCGACUGGUACUGGUACAGGUUCUCUUCCUUGAGUUGCUCCUGCCUGCCAAGGCUCACCAUCAAUGCAUGGAAAUCAGAACCAUGACUGGGUCCUUUACACCUCUCAAAACAGUCAGGGGACCAUAGAAAGCCAGGGCUGGAGAGACGCCAGCUAACCAAGGGUUAGCACUGGCCCACUGCCUGUUUUUGCAAAUAAAGUUUUAUUGAAAUACAACCAUAACCAUUCAUUUACAUGUUGUCCAUGCUGCUUUUACGUGCUCCACAGCAAAGCUGAGCAACACGGCAGAGAUUGCGCAGAGUCCAGAAUAUUCACUAUCUGGCCCUUUGCAAAAAGAAUCCCUGCUGAAAUGGUCCAGUCUUCUCAUUCUACAGAUGGAAAAAGUGAGGCCCAGGGCACAGAGAGCCCAUAAAAGGGCUUACUAUGCUCCCCCCGCCUCCAAAUGCCUGGGCAAAAGGAUGUGGGAGGAACUUUAAAGUACAAUAUGGCUGUGAGGUCAGGAAAGAAAUUUUUUUUUUUUUUUUUUUGAGACAGAGUCUUGCUCUGUUGCUCAGUUGGGAGCGUGGUGGUGCGAUCUCGGCUCACUGCAACCUCCACUUCCUGGGUUCAAGUGAUUUUCCUGUCUCAGCCUCCCAAGUAGCUGGGAUUACAGGCAUGCACCACCAUGUCUGGCUAAUUUUUCUAUUUGUAGUGGAGACACGGUUUCAUCAUGUUGGCCAGGCUGGUCACGAACUCCUGACCUCAGGUGAUCCACCCGCCUCAGCCUCCCAAAGUGCUGGGAUUACAGGCGUGAGCCACCGCUCCCAGCCAGAAAUUCUUAAUUUAUGGUUUCGCGUGGAAGCUUUUCUCCUCUUUAGGGAGAAGAGGGGGCAGGAAACUGCUCAGGAUAACUGUGGUCACUUGCUUGAGCCCUUCUUGUCUACUUGGGUUUUUUGGGUCUGCUUCUUCCACUAACCUGUCACCCAUGAAGAGAGGGCCACAUCAUGUCCCCAGCACUGGCACAAAGCCCAGCCCUUGGCUGAUGCCCAAGUGAAUGGUCACCGCUCUGAGGGCCCCGUGCACACAGCUAACAGCCAGGUGAAAGGCCAGUCAGGGAGACAAGAGUGGGCAGCAUACACAGUGUAUGUUGAGGGGUGGCACUGAGCAGGCAGCUGCAGGAAGCCAGGAGGUCAUCCUGGAGGAGGUGAUGCCCAAGAUGAGGUGUGAGUUGGACAAAAGGGGGAUGAGCGCUGCUCCCCAGAGGAGUGCCAGGAGGAAAACUGGCACAGUGAACAUGGGCACCCUACCAACAUGGGGCUCAAGUGGGGUAGGGUGCACCACGCUGGCUCCUGACCCCGAUCUCAGGCACCGACACUUCUCUGUGGGCUGUGGAGCUCGUGGCCAGGCCUGUUGUGCCGGGGGCCGCGUCCCGAAGUCCCUGCCGGCACCGCAGUCCUCACCUCAGUCUGUGCCUUGGGGUCCCCGGCCUUGGCCCUCUCCAGGACUUCUUCAAAGGGGAUUUCCAUGUCUCCCUUUGUAGGCCCUUUAACACAGAAGAAACAAACACACAUGUCACAAAGCCAGACUUUGUCACUUGUCAGGAUGGAGGGGACAAGGCAUGAGGGUCUUCAGAUCUGCUGCUGCUUGUCACUUUCAAAUCCAGGCCAGGAGUACAGAGAGACACAGACACAGACAGGGAAGAUGCCCAGAAAGCCACUGUUUGCCUUCCGGUCACAAGCAGCGCCAGAGCAAGAUGAGCAAACUCUAUGCGGGUGAGGUGGUUCAACAGCAACUCAAAGCGCUCGGGGUGGGAGGCAUGGGAAGGAGGCGAGCACAGAGCCAAGUCCCACCAUCACACCCCUUGGCCUAGGCCUGCUCUAGCUGGGGCUCUAGAAAGAUCCAAGGACUCAAGUUUGACAGCCCAUGACCUAAAUAAUACAAAGCACCUGUACCCGAAGCCCAGAACCCCAACAAAUCAAGUUCAUGUUUUCCAUGAUUGUACCAACAAAAACCACAUUUUUUGGAUAUUAUAAUCAGUGUA